CACGUAGGGUGCGAGCGUUAAUCGGAAUUACUGGGCGUAAAGCGUGCGCAGGCGGUGAUGUAAGACAGAUGUGAAAUCCCCGGGCUUAACCUGGGAACUGCAUUUGUGACUGCAUCGCUGGAGUGCGGCAGAGGGGGAUGGAAUUCCGCGUGUAGCAGUGAAAUGCGUAGAUAUGCGGAGGAACACCGAUGGCGAAGGCAGCCUCCUGGGAUAACACUGACGCUCAUGCACGAAAGCGUGGGGAGCAAACAGG
RNAcentral lists this ribosomal RNA (253 nucleotides) under uncultured bacterium. RNAcentral describes it as "partial 16S ribosomal RNA". It matches the Rfam family "Bacterial small subunit ribosomal RNA", at positions 524 to 776 of the family's 1533-position model. The record is from RNAcentral.